Monodelphis domestica (gray short-tailed opossum) is the source of this 2402-nucleotide long non-coding RNA. RefSeq lists it as uncharacterized. The record is from RefSeq and is a predicted model, not a curated record. NCBI's taxonomy places the organism in Eukaryota, Metazoa, Chordata, Mammalia, Didelphimorphia, Didelphidae.
CAGAGACCCAGAGAGAGCACCCAGGUGCUGGCUCCGGAGGGGUUAAGAAUGAGUCCUGGAGCGGAUAACUCCUGGAGUGGAUAACAGAGCCGAGUAACCCCAGCAAAGUAAAGCCUCAGCUCGAGCUGGAGGGAGACGACAGGAAGAAGAAGGCAAUGUCUGUGGACCCCCUAUCCAGGCAGGACUUACCUCCCACCCCAGUGCUCAGGCUGCCUCCCGCUGGAUUAAUAUUUUUCAACAUAUAAGUAUUGUUUUUGUGAUUAAUCACUAUGUUUAAAUUAUGUUUGAUUUGUAGCAAUGAGAAUACAUAAUGCAUAUCAGGUAUUUACAUUCCGAAUCAUAACUGUAGCAAAAUUGCAGUUUUGAAGUAGCCACAAAAAUAAUUUUUUGGUUUGGGGUCACUGCAACCUGAGGAACUGUAUUGCAGGGUCAUGGCAUUAGCAAGGUUGAGAACCACUGUGCUAGGAUCUUCUGGUUCUUGAGCAUAAACAAGUUCUCUUGUCUGCUCGGCUCCUCAAUUCAAACAAAGAUCAGAUUGCUAGAGUUUUAGUUCAAAGUUGUGAUUUUUGUGCGUGUUGAGAUCUCCCAGUAAAGAAACUUCCUUAAACAAAAUUGAUCUGAAACUGAAGGUUUACAGGAUUUCCUGGAAACUUAAGAGACUUGCUCAGGGUCACAGAGCCAAUGGGUAUCAGAGGUGGAACUCAGUCUCACUGACAACUUAAGAUCUGUGAGAUAUUUUGUCCUUUGGUACUGCUUCUUCUUGCCUCUUUCAAAAAUGGCAUAUGCACACUUCUCUGGGGAAACUGAGCAGAAUUACAUAAACCUUAAGUUGUCCUGAUAUGAAGACUAGAGGACAAGCAUCAUUCAUUGACGUCUUACUCAGAAGGUGAAGCAGUUGCCCUUGCCUAUAUCCCCUUGAGGCUGUAGUCUUUCUUUUUUGGUCUGUGAUAAUAUGCCUAAGGUCUUUGUGCUUUUGGCAGAACUGCAGCUCUAGAAACAGCUUCCCACAUUUGUUUGUCCUGUCCUUCUCUGGAAGUAAAUGAGUCCAUCUUCUGCCUAGAAGUAAAUUAACUGUGUUUUUUAAACCUUGUUUGCAAUGUAACACCCAAUAACUUGAUGAAGUAAUCAAACACUAGCCAAUUUUCUUUAUUUUUAUUCAGUGAAAACAUUUCUUUUGGUUGCAGUUGGAUGGCUUGGAGGAUUGAAAGCCAGACCUAGAGACAGGAGGUACUGGGUUCAAAUGUGACUUCAGACACUUCGUAGCUGUAUGACCCUGGGCAAGUCACUUAACCCCCAUUGCUUAGCCCUUACUGCUCUUCUGCCUUGGAACCAAUACACAGUAUUGAUUCUAAGAUGGAAGGUAGGGGUUUAAAACAUAUAUAUUUCUUUAUUCUCAGUCUAGCCUCUAGCAUCUAAUCAAUUAAAGGAUUCCAUUUGUGAAUAACAAACAACAAAGCUUAUGCUAGGAAGUGUAAGAUUUUAAAAGUUAUUUGAAGAUAAUUCAAACUAUGAGAGACUGUUUUGAAUCAAGUAAGGUCAGGAAAACUGCGAUUCAAAUCCUACUUCUGACAUAUACUGGCUGAAUGACCAAAGUAAAAACAUUUAACCUAUCAAAGUCCCAGUAAGGUAAGUUAAAUUAAGGAUAAAACCUUUGUCUGCAUUAGUAGAGGGAGCUUCUACGUAGGGAGUUCUCCACAACAAUGAAAUUAGAAGUCGCCUUUCCUCUCUAAACUCCUCAAAUCAAAAUAAAAUAACCUCAAUGAAUCACCAGUAUCUCAAAGCUGAUAAUGAAUGAAUCAAUAAGCACUUACUAUGUGCCAGAUCCCAUACUAGAUAUAGGGAAUAUUGUUAUUUUGGAAGAGGAUCAAUGAUAUCAAAGGGUGACAUCUUGACUUGUUCAUAAGUUGGAUUAAAGUGAGCAGAAUUGUGCAAAGUCUUUAGCCUCAUUUUCUCUUCCAGAGUCAUCCAGUCUUGUGGCAAGACAAAGAUGACCUUGGCAUCUUGUUUGUCUGACCAAGCUCUAAUAGCUCCACAUUGCCUGCUUCAGCUGCCUUUACAGUCAUUGGAACAAACUGUUCUCAUUCUCCUGUACUCCCAGGGGAAGCCUUCACAUGCGUGAAGUUUGUGAUUCAAUAGUUACCCUCAACCUGGGCUUAGCUCAUCUGCCAAGAUGGUUUACCAUGGUAUAGCUGCCAUUCAUGUUCCAGCUUCUUGGUGCCACAGUCUCCAGAUAUGUUGAUUUUUCCAAAAUGGUGGCAUUCCAUGAUUCACAAGCAUGUAGCAUCACCCCCAAAUAAGAAAACAAAAAUCUCAAAAAAAAGUGUUAAAAAAGAGAGGUGGCUCUGGCUGGCAACGUGCUAAGCGUUCCAGCAUCUUGGUGUGGCGGAAGCUAUUAUCCAGUG